UUAAUAAUUAGUUACAGUUACUAGUUACUUCUUUUAAAAGUAACUGAAUUACUUUACGAAUUACUGUAUUUCAAAAGUAAUUAGUUACUAGGGAAAGUAACUUUUAGGUUAUACUUCCAUGUCUGCUUUUUAAAAAUAAAUAUGAACAGUACUGAACAGUCAAACACAAUAAACACCAUUUUUAGACCUAGACCUAUUUAUUGUAAUCAACAGGGCAACAGGCCUUAAAAUCAAGCAGUACAACACUUAACUGUCUCAGUUAUUUAACAUUGCUACUCUUUGCUGUGGAUAGGUUCUUUACACUUUCACAGAAAUGACAACUCAACACAACAUUUUUGUCUUCUUUUGACAAGCGAAAAGUAAUGUCCAUGCCUCCAGGAGAGAAAGCUCAUUCUAACCGCAACGUCGGCCAUGCUGUGGUUUAAUGCUGAUUGACUGAUUCAACUGGUGUAUCAUCGCGUCACCAUAAGGUCCUGCAACAUUAGAUCAGAAGCAGGACUGGACGGGAGCCAUGCAAUUUGCAAGGGGUCAUGACCCAUGACGCGGGCAGUCCCACUCACAGCGCAAGAGGAUCUUCACAUGACAUUAAGAUCCACUGUUUGAGGACAACACAAAGAAAACAAGGCCUCACCUGGGUUACUCCUCUAUCCAACGAAGGCAAGAAGAGAAAAUGUGAAAGAAUUAUGGGAGAUUUAAAAAGGCUGCGUGUGAAAAUUAAACAGAACCUUCAACUCUGGUCGUUAAUCAGCUCCAUCAGAAAAACUGAACUAAAAAGAGUGACUAUUUUUCUUUUUUCCAUAAGUAAUAAGAUGGUUAUAUUUCUACAUACAUUUGCAAUAUCAUGAUUUAUAUUGAUGUGAUUGAUUUUUAACCACAUCCCUCAGUCCUUUUAUCCAAGCUACGUCUCGUUUUGUUUUGUUCAUGCUGGCCAUGUCCUUGCCAUGAUUUGCUGUUUUAAUUAAUGUGACUAUGUUCUCCUGCAUUGUAAGGUGUCCUUGAGUAUCUUGAAAGGCACCUCCAAAUAAAAAUUAUUAUCAAGCUGAGUAAUAGUGCUUUUUACCAGAUGGUGGCACUAAUGCGUAACUGUGAUAUUCACUGAAGGAGGAGAAAAAUCUAGCAAGUGUUUGUUCUGGUGUUCUAGUGUGGGUUGCACACUUUAAGUAAGUUGCAGAUAUACAACAAAGGCUAUUAUGACUGGAAGU
Acanthopagrus latus (yellowfin seabream) is the source of this 1202-nucleotide long non-coding RNA. RefSeq lists it as uncharacterized. The record is from RefSeq and is a predicted model, not a curated record. Lineage: Eukaryota; Metazoa; Chordata; Actinopteri; Spariformes; Sparidae. The transcript has 4 exons.